Molecule: long non-coding RNA, 793 nt
Filed under: Trifolium pratense (red clover)
Lineage: Eukaryota; Viridiplantae; Streptophyta; Magnoliopsida; Fabales; Fabaceae
Description: long non-coding RNA (TPRA_LNC008095)
Source: RNAcentral
CUUCGCACUUUACGUCAAUUUACCCUAUGCAAACCAGUCUAAAUAUGGGUUAGUAAUCCAUGUCUCAAUCAAACAAUUAUGUUUAAAACCUCGAAACCCACAUAGGUUAGGCAAGCUCUGAAUAGAAAGAUGUUAUGCAAAUUCAGAAAACAAGUCACUAUUAAAGUGAAAGAGCCAUCUAAUAGUUUCUGUCGACUAAAUAAGAACACGUCCAGUGGUAUUGACAAUAGAUGAGCAAUAUUUCCUACUAUUUUUUAUAUGUUACAACCUCCAUCAAGCAAAUAGCAACUAAUUUAUACAUUUGAACAACAAAUAAGACUCGAUACCUAAUAAACAUAAUAACAUCUUUCUCAAAUUCUUUGAAGAGUUGUACAUUAACAUUUAUCACUUCAUUGUAAUAUAAGAUGUACCUUGUGCAGAAAGGGCUCCUGAGAUUAUGCCUUUUGNNNNNNNNNNNNNNNNNNNNNNNNUCUCUAAAUUAGAGUUUACAGAAAUCCUACGUACUCAAAAAGCAUAAAAUUGCAUUUAAGCCACCAAUUCAGGAUAUGAAGACUCAAAUAUCGAAUUUUGCAUUCAAAGUCAUCAAAGAGAUAUAUUAAAUUUUUACAUAAGAUUACCAAGGCGGCGCACAUUAGUACACUACCAUCAUCCAAUUUAUGAAAAAUGCAUAAUUGCAUCAAUGGUCAUUUCAACAUGCAUUUCAAAUUAUGAAUAAACAUUAAUAUAGAAAUUGCAUUUAGGCCAACAAUUGGUUAUCAAGGCUAAAAUAUAGAAUUUUGCAUUUGAAGUCAUC